GUGCCAGCCGCCGCGGUAAUACAGAGGUCCCAAGCGUUGUUCGGAUUCACUGGGCGUAAAGGGUGCGUAGGUGGUGAGGUAAGUUCGGUGUGAAAUCUCCGGGCUCAACCCGGAAAAGGCAUUGAAUACUAUCUUGCUAGAGGUUUGGAGGGGGGACUGGAAUUCUCGGUGUAGCAGUGAAAUGCGUAGAUAUCGAGAGGAACACCGGUGGCGAAGGCGAGUCCCUGGACAACACCUGACACUGAGGCACGAAAGCUAGGGGAGCAAACAGGAUUAGAUAUCCUGGUAGUCCUAGCCCUAAACGGUGCACAUUUGCUGUGGGCGGAAUCGACCCCGUCCGUGGCGAAGCUAACGCGAUAAAUGUGCCGCCUGGGAAGUACGGUCGCAAGAUUAAAACUCAAAUAAAUUGACGG
Molecule: ribosomal RNA, 413 nt
Filed under: uncultured bacterium
Lineage: Bacteria
Description: bacterial SSU rRNA
Rfam family: Bacterial small subunit ribosomal RNA
Source: RNAcentral